AUUGAACGCUGGCGGCAGGCCUAACACAUGCAAGUCGAACGAGUGGCGGACGGGUGAGUAAUGUCUGGGAAAAUGCCCGAUGGAGGGGGAUAACUACUGGAAACGGUAGCUAAUACCGCAUACCAUCGGAUGUGCCCAGAUGGGAUUAGCUAGUAGGUGGGGUAAAGGCUCACCUAGGAGACGAUCCCUAGCUGGUCUGAGAGGAGGACCAGCCACACUGGAACUGAGACACGGUCCAGACUCCGCCGGGAGGCAGCAGUGGGGAAGAUUGCACAAGGGGCGCAAGCCUGAUGCAGCCAUGCCGCGUGUAUGAAGAAGGCCUUCGGGUUGUAAAGUACUUUCAGCGAGGAGGCGUUACUCGCAGAAGAAGCACCUGCUAACUCCGUGCCAGCAGCCGCGGUAAUUC
This 406-nucleotide ribosomal RNA is filed under the name uncultured bacterium. Its description in RNAcentral is "partial 16S ribosomal RNA". It matches the Rfam family "Bacterial small subunit ribosomal RNA", at positions 30 to 526 of the family's 1533-position model. The record is from RNAcentral.